Molecule: non-coding RNA, 99 nt
Organism: Acanthosepion pharaonis
Lineage: Eukaryota; Metazoa; Mollusca; Cephalopoda; Sepiida; Sepiidae
Source: the annotation of a GenBank genome assembly
CGCGGAAACAACAGUUCCCGUACGAUCACCGAAGUUAAGCAACGUCCAGCCUGGUGAACUUCUAGACGGGUGCCCGUUUGGGAAUACUAGGUGCUGUAA